UCGUAGUCCGGAUUGGAGUCUGCAACUCGACUCCAUGAAGUCGGAAUCGCUAGUAAUCGUGGAUCAGAAUGCCACGGUGAAUACGUUCCCGGGCCUUGUACACACCGCCCGUCACACCAUGGGAGUGGGUUGCAAAAGAAGUAGGUAGCUUAACCUUCGGGAGGGCGCUUACCACUUUGUGAUUCAUGACUGGGGUGAAGUCGUAACAAGGUAACCGUAGGGGAACCUGCGGUUGGAUCACCUCCUU
Molecule: ribosomal RNA, 247 nt
Filed under: Escherichia coli
Lineage: Bacteria; Pseudomonadati; Pseudomonadota; Gammaproteobacteria; Enterobacterales; Enterobacteriaceae
Also listed under: 1 other name
Description: partial 16S ribosomal RNA
Rfam family: Bacterial small subunit ribosomal RNA
Source: RNAcentral